AGGGUGGUAGCUCCAACGGUUAGAGCAUCGGAUUCCAAAUCCGAGUGUUGUGAGUUCGAAUCUCACCCGCCCUG
This 74-nucleotide transfer RNA is filed under the name Candidatus Cloacimonadota bacterium. Its description in RNAcentral is "Candidatus Cloacimonetes bacterium (wastewater metagenome) tRNA-Trp". It matches the Rfam family "tRNA". Rfam says of the family: Transfer RNA (tRNA) molecules are approximately 80 nucleotides in length. Their secondary structure includes four short double-helical elements and three loops (D, anti-codon, and T loops). The record is from RNAcentral. Lineage: Bacteria; Pseudomonadati; Candidatus Cloacimonadota.